GAUGAACGCUAGCGGGAGGCUUAACACAUGCAAGUCGAGGGGCAGCAUAGGGUAGCAAUACUCUGAUGGCGACCGGCAAACGGGUGAGUAACGCGUAUGCAACCUACCCUGUACAGGGGGAUAACCCGGAGAAAUUCGGACUAAUAUCCCGUAAUAAUAUCCGGAGGCAUCUUUGGAUAUUUAAAGUUCCGACGGUACGGGAUGGGCAUGCGUAACAUUAGCUGGUUGGUAAGGUAACGGCUUACCAAGGCUAUGAUGUUUAGGGGUCCUGAGAGGGUGGUCCCCCACACUGGUACUGAGACACGGACCAGACUCCUACGGGAGGCAGCAGUGAGGAAUAUUGGUCAAUGGGCGCAAGCCUGAACCAGCCAUCCCCGGUGCAGGAAGACGGCCCUAUGGGUUGUAAACUGCUUUUCCAGGGAGAGAAACUUACGCACGUGUUGCGUGACUGACGGUACCCUGGGAAUAAGCAUCGGCUAACUCCGUG
This 487-nucleotide ribosomal RNA is filed under the name uncultured bacterium. RNAcentral describes it as "bacterial SSU rRNA". It matches the Rfam family "Bacterial small subunit ribosomal RNA", at positions 28 to 507 of the family's 1533-position model. The record is from RNAcentral.